CAACAUAACUUAAAAAAAAAAAUCUACAUUUUUAUAAAAUUUGAUUUAAAAAUAGUAUUUCAAACAGUAGAGUCACUAGAAGUACAGAGCUAUCAAAAAGGUACACUUCAUUUGGCAUCCCCAGGGCCUUCUGCUUUCUGUGACUGGACUGUAGAGGCAUCUCCGUUUUUCGCAGGGUUGUUCCCAUCCUUGCCGACUUCUGCUUUCCCCUUUCUCCCUUUGGCCAGCUUCUCUCCCUUCUUUGCAUGGGCCUUUUUUGGCCUGGGCUCUGGUUUUGGAAGGGCAGGUUUAGCAGACAACCGUGCUGAUCUCCUCUGUGGCUCAUCCUUCACCUUCCCUUUGUCAUCUUUAGCAUCUCCUUUUGCCUUUCUCUUGGGCAUGGUGGCAGCAGCGCUUGGCAGCCCAAGGGGUUCUUCUGUCUUUCUCACUGUUCCUAGAAAGAUUUCCGAGUCUCGCGGCCGUCCGAGGGGCACGGGACUCCCAGCUGCCGGCCUGCAGCGCCGGUGCCCGGGGCUGAGGCAAGGCCGUCACGGACCGCAGGCUGGCGAAAAGACGCCCGGAGAUGGGCGCUGCCGGGAACAGGAAGGCAAGUCAAGGCCUGUAAGGUAUCUUUUAGAAAACGAACAUUUUUUUACACAAAAUACCCUCUAACUGGGGUGGGGGCUAACAUUUUAUGUAGCUUUAAUCUGUUGUUGGGGGUACUGAAAUACCAAGGAAGAGCUGAACAGUACUAUUUUCUACAAUACGGUAGCAAGUGAUAUCUCAGAAAUCAUGGAGAUCAGUAAUAUAAAGAAGGGCUAAAAAAAAUUGAACUACUUUCCUUAAAAUAAUUCAGAUUGAUGGGUCAUUCACAGUCCUGUUAACACAUAACAACUGUAUGCUCCAGGUAAUUAGGAUGACAUUGUUGCCAGCAUAAAAGUGACAUCAGAACCUGUUUUCAUUGGCAUUGGAUCCGCCAGCCCUGUCACCUCUGACUGCCUGGUCCCACAUCUAUUAACCCUAUUGAUUGGGAGUCCUGCUGAGCCUCACCAGAAAACUGCUCCUUGCUGAAAGCUGGAGUGGAUCAACCCUGAACCAUGAACAAGAAUUCAAUAAUACAACACAGUACGACAUUUAACCAUUAAGUAUUCCUUAAAGUAAAUCAAAUUACGGACCUUGCCAUAAUGAAGAUCUUUUAAGAUUUUGAGAAGUCAAUUGAUUCCAAGUCCCCAAAAGUCUAGAAGGGGCAUCAGGCUGUGACAAGAGAUACCUUAUUUUCCUCUGUUGUGACCUAAUUAAUUGAAAUAAUAAGAAGGGCUGAGUUUGUGUAAUCAAGAUGGCUAUCAC
This 1326-nucleotide long non-coding RNA is filed under the name Bos grunniens (domestic yak). RNAcentral describes it as "lncRNA (ENSBGRG00000019678.1)". The record is from RNAcentral. Lineage: Eukaryota; Metazoa; Chordata; Mammalia; Artiodactyla; Bovidae.